This is a long non-coding RNA of Oncorhynchus kisutch (coho salmon), 1107 nucleotides long. RefSeq lists it as uncharacterized. The transcript has 6 exons. The record is from RefSeq and is a predicted model, not a curated record. Lineage: Eukaryota; Metazoa; Chordata; Actinopteri; Salmoniformes; Salmonidae.
CUCUGUUUUGCGGUGCGUUUGUGUUAAUUGUUUAUUUUAUUUAUUAAAACCCUCACUCCCUGAACUUGCUUCCCGACUCUCAGCGCACUCGUUACACUGGUAUUAAAUCAUGUUAGGGUAUCCAUUUGUGUUUUUUUAUUGUAGAUCCCCAGUAUGGCUGAAAAUAUGAAUGUGUCACCUAUAUCCAGCCUUGCAGGCCUUGUUGAACAGGUGGUGUCUUCUAAUCUAGAGGAACCUAACCUUUCAACCACAAUAGCAGGUUAUGUUGUGGAGAAAUGUGGCUGCAACAAAAAAUGGAUUCUGAAGACCUCAAUGGGAUUAACAAAAAUGUGUAACUAGGUGGGCAGUGGUGGUGACACAGCAUGGUUAUGCUGGUCAUGGUGCUUCUGAUGGUGGCUGCUCACUCUCUGGGAAUGCGAUCUUCUACCCUACCAUUUACUCCACGUGCCCAGAUGCUCAACUGGAACACACAGCAAUUGGCCUGUUCAAAGCAUAAGCGAAUGAUGUGGUGGGGAACUUCAUGUUCUGCUGGCCCUUCAUCAGCCUGGUUGUUUUAUGGGGGGGAAGGCCCACACCCUGGGCUACCAGAGCUGGACACAUGUACAGAUCUUUGAGAAGAAGGAUAUUUUCAGCAGCCUCAACAUCAGUCAAAACUUCAACAGCAGUUGAAGAGACCAGCUUUAAUACCCACUAAAUUCAGCCCAGCACCUCAGCAAUAUACCAGUGACCUCUCCAUUGCUGCUCAAAGAGCAUCUGUACUUUUCUGUUUUACUGCCCCCACAUUCCACAAUGAUGUUCCGUCACAAUUACAAGGAGUCUCAGCCCUUUAAACUGGAUUACAGCUUUUGUACACUGUUUCUGGGUUUGCUCAUGCAUACCUCCCUGUCUGUGCUCUUUGUUUCAGUGGUUGUACGAGAAGAGUCAUUGUUCCCUAGCAUGCGCAUGGAGCAGCAAUUUGAUCUGGAGGACUUCCUCAAUGCUAGCAAAGUGUUGCUCAAUUUGACAUUGUCAUAUUUCAUUUUGUUUCCUGUUAAAACAAAUAAAAUCCCCCUAAUGCACUGUUACUACUGUAGCCUAUCUUUGAUUACAGUAUAUUGGCAUUGAAUG